AAGCAUGCUAUUUGAGUACCUAGAAAAUCGAUUUAUACAAAAUUCUAUGAAAUGGUGCGACAAUUAACAAAAUAAGGAGGGAACUAAUCACGAUUAAACUAACCAAGACGACAGAAAAUAAGCCUUAACCGAUUCAGACGACUGAUAUUUAUAAAAUCAAAGAGGAACUAAGCAUUAUAAGACAAAAUGUAGAAAACAAAGCACACAAACAG
RNAcentral lists this unclassified non-coding RNA (212 nucleotides) under Hevea brasiliensis (rubber tree). The record is from RNAcentral. Lineage: Eukaryota; Viridiplantae; Streptophyta; Magnoliopsida; Malpighiales; Euphorbiaceae.